UAGGGAAUCUUCGGCAAUGGACGAAAGUCUGACCGAGCAACGCCGUGUGAGGGAAGAAGGUUUUCGGAUCGUAAAACUCUGUUGUUAGAGAAGAACAAGGACGUGAGUAACUGAACGUCCCCUGACGGUAUCUAACCAGAAAGCGACGGCUAACUACGUGCCAGCAGCCGCGGUAAUACGUAGGUGGCAAGCGUUGUCCGGAUCUAUUGGGCGUCAAGCGAGCGCAGGCGGUUUCUUAAGUCUGAUGUGAAAGCCCCCGGCUCAACCGGGGAGAGUCAUUGGAAACUGUGAGACUUGAGUGGAGAAGAUGAGAGUGGAAUUCCAUGCGUAGCGGUGAAAUGCGUAGAUAUAUAGAGGAACACCAGUGGCGAAGGCGGCACUCUGGUCUGUAACUGACGCUGAGGCUCGAAAGCGUGGGAAGCAAACUGG
RNAcentral lists this ribosomal RNA (429 nucleotides) under Gemmatimonadota bacterium. RNAcentral's name for it is "Gemmatimonadetes bacterium partial 16S ribosomal RNA". It matches the Rfam family "Bacterial small subunit ribosomal RNA", at positions 355 to 776 of the family's 1533-position model. The record is from RNAcentral. Lineage: Bacteria; Pseudomonadati; Gemmatimonadota.